Non-coding RNA from Sus scrofa (pig), 1202 nucleotides. The record is from RefSeq and is a predicted model, not a curated record. Lineage: Eukaryota; Metazoa; Chordata; Mammalia; Artiodactyla; Suidae.
UUUGAGGAGCCCAUUGUGUUCCUAGACAUUAUCUCUGUAGGAAACUUCUGCACAUGAGCAGCUCUGAUGCACUGGUGUGGUUUGCACUGCCCAGCUCUUAGCAACCUUAUGUUCAAGGUGACAGUGAAAGGCACCUCAUCUCCCUCCUGUCAUCACAGAGACCAACCCUGGUGCAUUGUGGGAGAAGACUACACAAAGAUGUGAAUAUCAGAAGGUAACUGUCUGCAAGGACCUUCUCAUAAAUUUCGCUCAGAGAGGAGGCCUUCUGUGAAGUUGCCAUUAGACAUUGUCAUUCAUCUGUGGAGACUGAGGGCCAGAUAGUUUCAGCUGUGUCUGAAUUGAAUGGCGCCAGCACUCAUCUUUCCUGACAGUGGCUGAACCAGAGGAGCAUUGACAUUUUUCAUGAUGAUAGCUGGAUAUAAAUACUUGGAUCAUCCUGGAGACUCCACUGUCCAGCCCAGUAUUUCUCUUUAGCCAGUUCCUUCUCCUGCUAUAUUUGGCUGCAGCCCAUUGUGGAAAACUCUGAUGUCGAACUCCUAUGGCUGUAUAAACACCAGAGCUUAGUUCAGGGAGUCCCUCAGAUUGCCAACAAGUAUGAACUGAAUGAUGACACUGUUCGAAAUGCCUUCCUUGCUAUUCUCCUGCAUGACCAAGUAUCCUGGCUUUUUAGAUGCAGCCAUUAAACAUUAAGUUCUGGACGCUGGGAAAUCCAAGAUCAUGACGUUGGCAGGUCUGAUGCCUGGUGAGAGCCCACUUCCUCAUUGAUGACUGUCUUCUCACUGUAAUCUCCCAUGGCAGAAGGGGCAAGCCAGCUCUCUGAGGCCUCCUUUAUAAGGGAACCAAUUCCAACUAAUCACCUCUCAAGUGCACAGAUUACUAAGCGCACUUUGGAACCAUGGAGGAAGGUGGCUGAGUGUCUCUGCCACGUGGGAAAGUGAACCACAGGGAUGGCCUUGGGCUACUGGAACCACUUUGCCCAGACACAGAGGGCUGGAGGUGCCUGGGUGGUUAGCAUUGCUGUUCCUACCCCUAACUCCAGCCGGCGGCGUCACGGAACCAGGACCAGUGACUGACAGGUAUGAAUGUGAAAGUUCAUCUGCCUUGACUCAAGUUGAGACAGUUGAGGCUUUAUUUGUGUGAGCCAGACCUCCACUGAUCAGGCCCAGGCUGGGAGUUCACCUGAGGUCACACCCUUGUUUGUU